RNAcentral lists this long non-coding RNA (1264 nucleotides) under Cricetulus griseus (Chinese hamster). Its description in RNAcentral is "lncRNA (ENSCGRG00015041817.1)". Lineage: Eukaryota; Metazoa; Chordata; Mammalia; Rodentia; Cricetidae. The record is from RNAcentral.
AUUUAGGUUAUUAUUUUAGCUACCAAGGUUCAUAGCACGGUGAGACUUUGAUGACUCCCCCAGGAGCCUACACAGCAUGUUCAGGUAGUAUGAAAGCCAGACAACAGCAAGGAAGCUUCUUCUCUAGUGCCAACUUGAUUUCUCCAAGUGUGUGAUGUCUUCAGCAAGAGUCUUACCUAGGGACUGGAAUUCUAAUCUUAUAAUUCAUGGUUCCAUUUUUCUGUUCCUCUACUAGUGAAUUCAUUUCUAAAUUACAAAGAAAAGUGAAAAUUAACUGAAAUCCCCUCAAAAAUACUAAGUGUGGUACCCCAAGCCAAGGAGUUUUAGCCUUUUAAUAACCAUAGAAGUAGGAUUUUUAUUAAGUCCCACUUUUCAUUAGUAGUCUACAUCUUUAUAAUUAAGAAGCCUGGUGUAUAGAUGGUGAAUGUUUUUGAAUUGUAUACAGGCUUUUAAUGUGGCCAACUCCUUGUGAGGUCUGGCAUAUGCAUCUCUGGGAUUGCCCCAGGUGCACUCAUGAACAGGUGCAGCCAACCACAUACUUGUUGGGUUCUUGAAAAUAUUCAGGGCUUGGGCGAUGCAUGAUGUAUCAUCAGACUUGAUGCUUUGAGGGUCAGGUUGGGAAAGCUUAAGGGAUAUUGAGGAAAUAAUAAGUACCUGGUUUGAUUUGUGUUCAAGAUCCACAGAAAAAUAAAGAACCAAGAUGGGUGCAAGAUUUCCCUCCCUCUUUAUAUUCACCUUGUAUGUGGUUAUUGAUGCAACCUGUGGAGGUAAUGAUGCUAAUUAUUACAAAAUAUUUUGCAGAUAUGCAAGAAAAUGUAGAGUGAUACUGUAGUGGGGAAGUGGAUAGACUCAUAUUUGAGUCUCCGUCUCCCAUCUGCUUGCAGAGUAAUAUGGGAAAAGCCUGUUUCCUCAUCUAUUAAAUGACACCAAUAUUUAUCUUGCAGGGUUGUGAGGAUUAGAUGAUCAGGCAUGUACCUUUUACACACAGAGAAGUUCUUACACUGCCUAUCACAGAGUGAAUGAUAGAGAUUGGAAACUUCACCAUCUCUCUCUUUGAUGUAUGGACCAGACUCCUAGCUGGUUUUUUUUGCCUUUGGCUCCAGCUCUGCUUCAUUCUAUCCACAACACAGCAGCUACAACGAUCCUGUUCCAUACAGUUGAUGCAUUGAACUGGGAACCUGGAUGAACCAAAAGUGAAUGAAUAGGAAAGGAUUGGAAGGUCCAAUUUGCUGAAAACAACAACAACAACAACAACAAAAAAAAA